CUUCAGGUCCCUGUUCAGGUGCCAGAUGCAGCAUCCCUUGCAGCGGAGUUUGAGCAGGGGUCACCUGUAAGGGGA
Molecule: microRNA precursor, 75 nt
Filed under: Notamacropus eugenii (tammar wallaby)
Lineage: Eukaryota; Metazoa; Chordata; Mammalia; Diprotodontia; Macropodidae
Description: miRNA (ENSMEUG00000016839.1)
Source: RNAcentral